UCUCAUCAGAAAAUAUUUAUUUUUGAAGAAAAAUAUUGCAUCAAGAAUCAGUUCUUAAUUAGUUGACACUCAGUAGUUCCUGAACGAUUCAACAAAGAUGUCUGGCCACUCUGACGAACUCCGAAAAUUGUUGCAUCUGAACGUGACAUUUCGUUCAAGAUAUGCAACGAACCCCAUUAGAAGUAUAGACCUUAAUUGGAUCCAGGUCAGCAAAAAUGAACCCAAAGACAUCAUUUAGGGAGGCCAGGGGGAUGGGGAAAUUUAUCAAAGCUCAUUUUAAGGGAAACUUCAUUCAAUUUGUAUCAAUUUUAAGGCAUUUUUAGAUAUUAUUUGAAACUUUGCUUCCCCCAUUUACUCUCAAGAACUUUUACCCCCUCCGCCCCUCCAAGGCUUUUCUGAAAUGAGUAAUGCCGCAUCUGGAGGAGUCAAGUGCACUGUGCAUGACCUUAAUUAGACCCACAUAUUCCGACAGUGUAAUUUCAAUGACUCUCAUGUUGCCUCUGAAAUAAACGAAACAAACUAG
Long non-coding RNA from Bemisia tabaci, 523 nucleotides. RefSeq lists it as uncharacterized. NCBI's taxonomy places the organism in Eukaryota, Metazoa, Arthropoda, Insecta, Hemiptera, Aleyrodidae. The record is from RefSeq and is a predicted model, not a curated record.